RNAcentral lists this ribosomal RNA (253 nucleotides) under uncultured bacterium. Its description in RNAcentral is "partial 16S ribosomal RNA". It matches the Rfam family "Bacterial small subunit ribosomal RNA", at positions 524 to 776 of the family's 1533-position model. The record is from RNAcentral.
UACGUAGGGUGCAAGCGUUGUCCGGAAUUAUUGGGCGUAAAGAGCUCGUAGGCGGUUUGUCGCGUCGGCUGUGAAAUCUCGGGGCUUAACCCCGAGCCUGCAGUCGAUACGGGCAGACUUGAGUUCGGUAGGGGAGACUGGAAUUCCUGGUGUAGCGGUGAAAUGCGCAGAUAUCAGGAGGAACACCGGUGGCGAAGGCGGGUCUCUGGGCCGGAACUGACGCUGAGGAGCGAAAGCGUGGGGAGCGAACAGG